Molecule: non-coding RNA, 1467 nt
Organism: Nicotiana tabacum (common tobacco)
Lineage: Eukaryota; Viridiplantae; Streptophyta; Magnoliopsida; Solanales; Solanaceae
Source: RefSeq, a predicted model, not a curated record
UUGGAGGCUGUUUCUACUAUCCUUCCAAAAGCAAAUCACAUAUGGUGUGCUAGGCACAUUGAAGCUAAUUAGAGCAAAAAUUGGAGGGGUAUAGAGAUGAAAAAGUUAAUGUGGUGGUGUGCUUGGAGUACCUAUGAAGAAGAGUUCAAGGAUCAACUGAAGACUGGGUGAUGUUCAUGAAAAUGCUGCUAGGGAACUAAUACACUACCCUCCUCAAUAUUGGUGUAGGGCUUAUUUUGAUACUAAAUGCAAGAAUCAUAUGGUUGAUAAUAACUUUACAGAAUCAUUCAAUAAAUGGAUUCUUGAAGCUAGAAAUAAACCUAUAAUUAAGAUGUUGGAAGACAUUAGAUUAAAGGUAAUGAAUUUGUUGAAGAACCGUGAGGAGGAAUGUAGGAAUUGGAAGGAAGAAAUUAGCCCAUAUGCCAUAGAGCUUUACAAUGAUUAUAGAGUGAUUGCAAUAGAGUGCAAAGUUAUCUUUAAUGGAGAUUACGGAUAUGAAGUGGUUGAGGGUAAAAAUAAGCAUACAGUGAACCUUGAAUUAAAGAAGUGUACUUGCAGGGCCUGGAAUUUGAUAGGAAUACCAUGUCCUCAUGCCAUCAAAGCUUUAAUGCAUGACAAACAAGAUCCAUUAAGCGUGGUGCAUUGGUGGUAUUCAAAGGAAGCUUAUAUGUUGGCAUACAUGCACAAGUUACAACCUGUGAGAGGUGAGAAAUUUUGGAAAAUUGAGCCAGAACAUUCAAUGGAGCCACCAGAAGUACAUAAAAUGAUGGGUAGACCAAAGGUAAAGAGAAAAAGAGAAAAGGAUGAGGCCAGGAAAAGGAAGGGGGUCUGGUCAGCUUCAAGAAAGUGACUUAUAAUGACAUGUGGGUUCUGUGGUACAACAGGUCACAACAGAAGAAAAUGCCCUUUGGCUAAUGGUGAAGGAACUUCCCAAACAGUACAAGAUGUGCCCUUGACGGCACCCCAAGACAGUCAAAAUUUAGAAUUUGCCUUCAUGCCUACUUCGGGUAUGAGAAUGACCUCUCCUGAACCUUCCAGUCAAUUUGAUGGACUUCAAAACACACUUCAACAAUCUGUUGCACCUUCAAUAUUAGCUGAUGAUGAAUAUGAAGGUGGAUAUGAAGAUGAAGACGAAGAGCCAUAUGUGAUGUCUAAGGUGAUAUCUGAAGCUAUGACUAGGCUUCAACAAAGAAAGUUGCAUCAAGAACCUAUUGGUACCAGGAAGAUUGCCUUCAAAGGAGAUAUAGAUGGUGUCAAUGUGCCUACUGAUCUGCCUUAUUCACCAAAGAAGCUCACAUGGAAAGGAAAAUCAGCUAUGUCCUCAAGCCAGUUGGUAGCAGAAAAGGAAAAAAAAAUUGGAAAACUGAAGACUAAAAAGGCCAAGCAUUAGAGUAGUUUGUUCAGUUUAAUGACUUUUGUAUAAACUUUUGUGUAAUGACUGUGAAUCAGUUGAUUCGAUUGUUGAUU